AGCAGCCGCGGUAAUUCCAGCUCCAAUAGCGUAUAUUAAAGUUGUUGCAGUUAAAAGCUCGUAGUUGAAUUUCGGGAUCAAUUAGUCGGUCGUGCCUCUGGUACGUACUGGUUUUAUUGGUUCCUCCCUUCUGACGAAACAUGAUGUCAUUAAUUUGGUGUCGUGGAGAAUCAGGACUGUUACCUUGAAAAAUUAGAGUGUUUAUAGCAGGCUAACGCUUGAAUACAUCAGCAUGGAAUAAUGAAAUAGGACGUUCGACCCUAUUUUGUUGGUUUCUAGGAUCGACGUAAUGAUUAAUAGGGAUAGUUGGGGGCAUUAGUAUUCAAUUGUCAGAGGUGAAAUUCUUGGAUUUAUUGAAGACUAACUACUGCGAAAGCAUUUGCCAAGGAUGUUUUCAUUAAU
Molecule: ribosomal RNA, 402 nt
Filed under: uncultured Glomeromycotina
Lineage: Eukaryota; Fungi; Glomeromycota
Description: SSU rRNA
Rfam family: Eukaryotic small subunit ribosomal RNA
Source: RNAcentral